GUGAAGGAUGAAAAGGAAGAUAAUAAGCAAAAGAAAACUCUGUAUAGGAUUUUUCUUGAUUAAUACCGGUUUCAGAUUCGUGCUUUGAUUAUCUAUUAGAGUGGUAGAUGCAAUGGCUUUAGGGGUUUCGAGCAGCAAUUGUUUAGCAAAAAUACCUUCAAAUCAUUUUCGUCCAAAAAAUCAAAGAUGAUAGUUGAUGGUGGAGAUGAAGGUUUUGCUGAUCUAAUUCUGGUUUCGAUGGUGGAGUAUCCGCAUUGAAAUUCGGGUUCCAUUCAAAGUUUUCUAAUAUGGGAUCUGGAAUUGAUGUUGAUGCACAAGAGAACGAAAGAGAGAGAGAAGAAGCACGAAAGAGGCAUAAAAUGAUGUGCUUUGCAAGCCUUUGAGUUAAUAUUGCAGAACCAGAAGAACUUCACACUCCUCCAUUAUCGAUCGACGACGGCAAUCUACAAAUUGAAGCUUUACGUCCUUUUAAACAAAAAAUUCUCACCGAUUUCUCUAUUCUUUGAACUGUUGUUGCCAUUUUAUUAAGAGGACCAAAGCUGUCAUUGUUGCAACAGUUUUCCUCUCUGGCUAGGACUUGACAAAAUCAGCUUUUAUCCAAAAAACCUCGAUCUCUUAUUCCUAUUUCUUACAUAAGAAUCGAUUUUCUCUCGCUUUGUUACACGAAAUCGACUAAAGAGGUGAAAUAAUAACUACUUCUUCAUUCCCGACCAACCAAUGGCUAGUUGCUUGUUUCUGUUACCCGAGCCCAUUGUCGGCUUCCUCUUCACGCCACAAACCAGCUUCUUCUGAUCCUUCUUGUGUCAAACAGGGAGUGAAGAAUUAGCAAUCCAUCUCCGAUUAUACCAAGAGAUUUUGGUAGCUUUUUUUGAUAAGCCAGCAGCCGCUAUUUUCAGUAAUGUUCUUGGUAAGUUGAAGAAUGCCAUCAAUUGACAGUAGUAACAAGAUCUACUAUUUACAAAAUUGUUCGGAAGGGUAAGUUGCGAGAAACAAUCAAUGGAGAAAGUCAACUGACAGUAGUAACGAGAUUCAACAAGCUUUUAUUAGAAAAUUUUCCAAUCAAAUUAUGUUUUUUUUAUUGCUCAUAUGACUUUUGACGUUGUAAUCAUGAAAAGUUUGGCUGAGUUAGUUAUUUGAUGAAUAUAUCAAUAUUUAAAUUAA
This is a long non-coding RNA of Jatropha curcas, 1161 nucleotides long. RefSeq lists it as uncharacterized. NCBI's taxonomy places the organism in Eukaryota, Viridiplantae, Streptophyta, Magnoliopsida, Malpighiales, Euphorbiaceae. The record is from RefSeq and is a predicted model, not a curated record.